Molecule: non-coding RNA, 73 nt
Organism: Desmophyllum pertusum
Lineage: Eukaryota; Metazoa; Cnidaria; Anthozoa; Scleractinia; Caryophylliidae
Source: the annotation of a GenBank genome assembly
GGCCUCGUAGCUCAGUUGGUAGAGCAACGGGAAGUCCAUUCCGAGGUCGUGGGUUCAAAUCCCACCGAGGCUU